Myotis davidii is the source of this 356-nucleotide long non-coding RNA. RefSeq lists it as uncharacterized. The transcript has 2 exons. The record is from RefSeq and is a predicted model, not a curated record. NCBI's taxonomy places the organism in Eukaryota, Metazoa, Chordata, Mammalia, Chiroptera, Vespertilionidae.
AGGAUUGAAAAAGAAAAGAAAAGCGUUCUGUAAACUCUGAAGUAGUUUUGAUUCUUGGGAAAUGAAGAAUUUUUCUGUAGUGACGCAAGUCAGUCUCCACCAUCCCUUGCUCGGCUUCAAACACCUCACUGCCUCCUGGAAGCCUAGGUGAUAAGCAUUUUGCAAGGUUGUUUGCCCGACCCCAGGCUCUAAGCCCCUGCAGGUGGACACAUGUGCAUGUGUGUGUAAAUCAACACCUAUCACACGUCCGCGGAAUAAGCACACUAUCUGAUGGCUAGGACCCCUGGACACAGAAUAUUCCAGCAAAAUGGCUAAAUACCAUUCGACUGUUAAUCAGUUGCAGAAACAGCAAAAAA